GGCCCUACGGGGUGCAGCAGGCGCGAAAACUUUACAAUGCUGGCAACAGCGAUAAGGGAACCUCGAGUGCCAGGUUACAAAUCUGGCUGUCGAGAUGCCUAAAAAGCAUUUCAUAGCAAGGGCCGGGCAAGACCGGUGCCAGCCGCCGCGGUAACACCGGCGGCUCGAGUGGUAGCCGUUAUUAUUGGGUCUAAAGGGUCUGUAGCCGGCCGGAUAAGUCUCUUGAGAAAUCUGGCAGCUUAACUGUCAGGCUUUCAGGAGAUACUGUCUGGCUCGAGGCCGGGAGAGGUGAGAGGUACUUCAGGGGUAGGGGUGAAAUCUUGUAAUCCUUGAAGGACCACCAGUGGCGAAGGCGUCUCACCAGAACGGACCUGACGGCAAGGGACGAAAGCUAGGGGCACGAACCGGAUUAGAUACCCGGGUAGUCCUAGCCGUAAACGAUACUCGCUAGGUGUCGGCCACGGUGCGACCGUUGUCGGUGCCGUAGGGAAGCCGUGAAGCGAGCCACCUGGGAAGUACGGCCGCAAGGCUGAAACUUAAAGGAAUUGGCGGGGGAGCACCACAACGGGUGGAGCUUGCGGUUUAAUUGGAUUCAACGCCGGAAAUCUU
This 609-nucleotide ribosomal RNA is filed under the name uncultured archaeon. Its description in RNAcentral is "bacterial SSU rRNA". It matches the Rfam family "Archaeal small subunit ribosomal RNA", at positions 319 to 928 of the family's 1478-position model. The record is from RNAcentral.